This 253-nucleotide ribosomal RNA is filed under the name uncultured bacterium. Its description in RNAcentral is "partial 16S ribosomal RNA". It matches the Rfam family "Bacterial small subunit ribosomal RNA", at positions 524 to 776 of the family's 1533-position model. The record is from RNAcentral.
UACGUAGGGACCAAGCGUUGUCCGGAUUUAUUGGGCGUAAAGAGCUCGUAGGCGGCUAUUCGCGUCGGAUGUGAAAGCUCGGGGCUCAACCCUGAGAGGCCAUUCGAUACGGGAUAGCUAGAGGCAGGUAGGGGAAAGUGGAAUUCCUGGUGUAGCGGUGAAAUGCGCAGAUAUCAGGAGGAACACCGGUGGCGAAGGCGGCUUUCUGGGCCUUGCCUGACGCUGAGGAGCGAAAGCUGGGGGAGCGAACAGG